RNAcentral lists this ribosomal RNA (213 nucleotides) under uncultured bacterium. RNAcentral describes it as "partial 16S ribosomal RNA". It matches the Rfam family "Bacterial small subunit ribosomal RNA", at positions 1289 to 1500 of the family's 1533-position model. The record is from RNAcentral.
CAGUUCAGAUUGCAGGCUGCAACCCGACCCUGCAUGAAGUCGGAAUUGCUAGUAAUCGCGGAUCAGCAUGCCGCGGUGAAUACGUUCCCGGGCCUUGUACACACCGCCCGUCACACCAUGGGAGCCGGUAAUACCCGAAGUCAGUAGUCCAACCUCGUGAGGACGCUGCCGAAGGUAGGAUUGGCGACUGGGGUGAAGUCGUAACAAGGUAGC